RNAcentral lists this ribosomal RNA (429 nucleotides) under Bacteroidota bacterium. Its description in RNAcentral is "Bacteroidetes bacterium partial 16S ribosomal RNA". It matches the Rfam family "Bacterial small subunit ribosomal RNA", at positions 355 to 776 of the family's 1533-position model. Lineage: Bacteria; Pseudomonadati; Bacteroidota. The record is from RNAcentral.
UAGGGAAUCUUCGGCAAUGGGGGGAACCCUGACCGAGCAACGCCGCGUGAGUGAAGAAGGACUUCGGAUCGUAAAGCUCUGUUGUUAACGAAGAACGUGUGUGAGAAUGGAAAGUUCAUGCUGUGACGGUACUUAACCAGAAAGGGACGGCUAACUACGUGCCAGCAGCCGCGGUAAUACGUAGGUCCCGAGCGUUGUCCGGAUUUAUUGGGCGUAAAGCGAGCGCAGGCGGUUAGAAAAGUCUGAAGUGAAAGGCAGUGGCUCAACCAUUGUAGGCUUUGGAAACUGUUUAACUUGGGUGCAGAAGGGGAGAGUGGAAUUCCAUGUGUAGCGGUGAAAGGCGUAGAUAUAUGGAGGAACACCGGUGGCGAAAGCGGCUCUCUGGUCUGUAACUGACGCUGAGGCUCGACAGCGUGGGGAGCGAACAGG